GGUUCCGAAGAAGCCCACAUGAUCUUCUAGCAGAGAGCCCUGGCCCAUUAAGAGUUAACCGGCCACUACCUCUGGGCCCCAGAUGCUCUGGUGACUCAUCAUAACACGUGGCUGCCAUUAGAUUAGAGCUGUCCCUUUAGAAAGGCAAGGGACAGGAGGAGGGAUUGGCCCUGAGCUCCAGGAUGUCAGAAGAGGAAGCAAAAAAGAGCAGCCUGCAAAUGCAGCCAUGGUGGGAAGGACUUGGAUCAGAUCCCAGAGGAGCCAGGCAACUUGAGUUUAGGAAUAGGGAGAAAUGUCUGGGGGAUUGCUGCUCUCAUCAAGAUAACUGCCUGGAAAGACUGUGAGUUGUUUGUUGUUCUUUUUAAAAAUAUUUUUAUGUGUAUUAGAGUUUUGCCUGCAGCUAUGCCAGAGUGAAAGUGACACAUCCCCUGGAGCUGGAGUUACAGACAUUGUGAGGCGCCAUGUAGGUGCUGGGAAUUGAACCUCUGUCCUCUGGAAGAGCAGCCAAUGCUCUUGACUGCUGAGCUAUUUCCCAGGAUGUCCUUAUGCUGCUCUGUGUGAGCAGAGGCCAGGCACUGCUAUGUGGAAACUAUCCCAACUUUGGUAGCCUCACAUAUGGGCUUGAAAAGACGAUGAUGGGAACCUGACCACAACAGCAUGUACCAGCAACCAUUAUUUAAGGAACCCAGACGAGGUGAGCAGCCCUAACUCCUGUGGGUGACACUGUGUAUGACACGGGGAAGGAGCAGGAAGAGAUGCCUGUACGUGACUCUCGUGGACAUCUCUCAAGGUACGGUAAAGUCUGAUCGUCACUGUGUUUCUGCCUAUGGAUGGCUGACAGUGAACACUGGCUUCAGGGAGGUCCCAGCUCCCUCUGAGGGAGUCAGCUUAGCAAUGGCUGACUCAUGUCAAAGGCCACU
RNAcentral lists this long non-coding RNA (920 nucleotides) under Mus musculus (house mouse). RNAcentral describes it as "lincRNA-EC3". Lineage: Eukaryota; Metazoa; Chordata; Mammalia; Rodentia; Muridae. The record is from RNAcentral.